UGGGGAAUAUUAGACAAUGGGCGCAAGCCUGAUCCAGCCAUGCCGCGUGAGUGAUGAAGGCCUUAGGGUUGUAAAGCUCUUUCGCCAGGGACGAUAAUGACGGUACCUAGAUAAGAAGCCCCGGCUAACUUCGUGCCAGCAGCCGCAGUAAUACGAAAAAAGCUAGCGUUGUUCGGAAUCACUAGACGUAAAGCGCAUGCAAGCAGACUGAUUAGUCAAAAAUGAAAGCCCGAGACUCAACCUCGGAACUGCCUUUGAUACUGUCAGUCUUGAGUCCGGGAGAGGUGAGUGGAACUGCGAGUGGAGAGGUGAAAUUCGUAUAUAUUCGCAAGAACACCAGUGGCGAAGGCGGCUCACUGGCCCGGUACUGACGCUGAGAUGCGAAAGCGUG
This 391-nucleotide ribosomal RNA is filed under the name uncultured bacterium. RNAcentral describes it as "bacterial SSU rRNA". It matches the Rfam family "Bacterial small subunit ribosomal RNA", at positions 355 to 763 of the family's 1533-position model. The record is from RNAcentral.